Molecule: RNA transcript, 1984 nt
Organism: Solanum pennellii
Lineage: Eukaryota; Viridiplantae; Streptophyta; Magnoliopsida; Solanales; Solanaceae
Gene name: heat shock factor protein HSF30
Exons: 3
Source: RefSeq, a predicted model, not a curated record
AUAUUUUCUAGACUUCUCCUCUUUCUUCCAUGUGUUUUUCUCUAGAACUUUCUAGUCCAAAUCCCAUUCUUAUAUUACUCACAAACUCACUUGUUUAUCCAUCUUAAUUGUAAUUAGCAAAGUAAUGGAGGAUGUAGUGAAAGUGAAGGUCGAAGAAGAUGGCAUUCCGACGGCCGUGCUGCCUAUGGAAGGGCUGCACGACGUUGGUCCGCCGCCAUUUCUGAGCAAAACUUAUGAAAUGGUGGAAGAUUCCUCAACUGAUCAAGUCAUAUCAUGGAGCACAACAAGGAAUAGCUUUAUUGUUUGGGAUUCUCAUAAGUUUUCCACCACAUUGUUGCCUAGGUUUUUCAAGCACAGCAACUUUUCCAGUUUCAUUCGGCAGCUUAACACAUAUGGAUUUAGAAAGGUGGAUCCUGACAGAUGGGAAUUUGCGAAUGAAGGUUUUCUGGGAGGGCAAAAGCAUCUUUUGAAGACGAUAAAGAGGAGGAGGAAUGUUGGUCAGAGUAUGAAUCAACAAGGAUCUGGUGCUUGCAUUGAAAUUGGUUAUUAUGGGAUGGAGGAGGAGCUAGAAAGAUUAAAGCGGGAUAAAAACGUGUUGAUGACUGAAAUAGUUAAACUUAAGCAGCAACAGCAGAGUACGAGGAAUCAGAUCAUUGCCAUGGGAGAAAAAAUCGAAACACAGGAGAGGAAACAAGAGCAGAUGAUGAGUUUCUUAGCAAAGAUUUUCAGCAAUCCAACUUUUCUCCAGCAGUACUUGGACAAACAUGUGCACAGAAAAGAUAAACAACGUAUCGAAGUUGGACAAAAGAGGAGACUAACGAUGACCCCCAGUGCUACAGGAAGUGAUCAGCCUACGAAUUACUCCUCAUCACACCAAGAGAGUGAAGCUGAGCUUGCAAGUAUUGAAAUGUUAUUCUCUGCUGCAAUGGACAAUGAAUCAAGCAGCAAUGUCAGGCCGGAUUCUGUUGUGACAGCAAAUGGAACUGAUAUGGAACCAGUGGCUGAAGAUAUUUGGGAAGAGUUGCUCAGUGAAGAUCUUAUAUCCGGGGAUCGAGCAGCAGAGGAAGUAGUGGUUGUUGAACAACCUGAAUUCGACGUGGAAGUUGAAGAUCUUGUUGCGAAAACACCUGAAUGGGGUGAGGAAUUACAAGACCUUGUAGAUCAACUUGGUUUCCUUUAGAGAUCACUCUUGUUGUUCCUCUGGCCUCCUCCACUAUUCCAGUAUCCUAUAUUGAGUUACUGCUUUCAAAUAUUUUGUAGCUAAUGUACUUGUUAUUUCUCUUCUAUAGCAGGGAAGGAUAGAGUUAUGGGUCGCCUAAAGCUAAAUUUUUUUUUUAAUAUUUUAUACUUCGUUAAUAUUUAGAUUGUACUAAUAUUUUUUGGAAAGUGAAGUGCAGAAUUGAUAUUUUUCUUUUCAUUUGAUUCAAUUUUUCAGGUUAAGAUGCAGAUAUACUACUUUCUUUCAUUUCAGGAAGCUUUGAGGCAGUCUCUAGUAGCGCAUGUUUACAAAAUCAUACAAUUGACAAUGGUGUAUAGCUUAAUUAUGGGUUCUGCAUUAUCUGGUGCUCAUAAACUUUUUAGGGGUUGUUUAAAUAUGCAGAGGUUAGUGGUUGGCUUGUAACUUGGAUGUUUGGUUCAUACCUAGAAAGUGGAUCUCUAUGGUGGAGAACGAAAGAGAGGAGAGGAUAGAGUAUACAGAGAUCUUAUAUUAGAUAUAUAGAUUGAGAAGAAAAGCAUCAACAUGGACUCGGCUUUCCUCUACUGUGCAUCAACCAACACCAGUUCCUUUAUACAACAUUGUGUCCACUUAACAAAUCAGUGUAUUUUUAUCACAGUUGAAGGAUAGUUUUUACUUCUUUACUGCUGUUCUUCCCAACAGUUCAAGCUGGUUUACUCCAGAACAAUCCAUGACAGUCAUAGAGCAUGCAUCAGUGUAAUUGCUUUCAAUUCAUUAGACUAAUAAACAGCUGUUUGAGAAUCUGAA